RNAcentral lists this unclassified non-coding RNA (354 nucleotides) under soil metagenome. RNAcentral describes it as "partial contains 5.8S ribosomal RNA, internal transcribed spacer 2, and large subunit ribosomal RNA". The stretch from base 1 to 119 matches the Rfam family "5.8S ribosomal RNA", at positions 35 to 154 of the family's 154-position model. The record is from RNAcentral.
GAUGAAGAACGUAGCGAAAUGCGAUAAGUAAUGCGGAUUGCAGAAUCCGUGAGUCAUCGAAUCUUUGAACGCACAUUGCGCCCUUUGGUAUUCCGAAGGGCAUGCCUGUUCGAGCGUCAUUAUCACCACUCAAGCCCGGCUUGCUGUUGGUGGCAGCGCAGCCGGUCAACCGGCUACGCUCCACCCAAAGAUAAUGACGGCGUCUGCGAGGACUCCUGUACAUUGAGCUUUCGGGCACGUACAUGGCUAGAAGUCCAGGCGCCGGUCGACGUCCUCCGGGACACUUUUUACCAAGGUUGACCUCGGAUCAGGUAGGGAUACCCGCUGAACUUAAGCAUAUCAAUAAGCGGAGGA